CCGCGGGGCCGCGGCGCUGUGGGCGGUGCGGGGAUGCUCGGCGCGGAACGGAACGGCACGGUAUGAUGUGACAUCGUGAAAAAUUAUAUAGUAAUAGUGGUGAGUCAUAGACGCAGUCAUUUUGAUUUUAUGUGCCAUGGUGAAAUUGGGGUGUUUCAGGGCAAGAGAGUGCUCCUCUCCAUGGUCCUUCCUUCCCCUGUGGCCAGCAGAGCAGCGGGUGUUGGGUGCAUGUGCCAGAGCCUGUGCUGCCUGUGGGAUGGUGCUGCAGGGGCAGCUAUGAAGAAACAGUAGUUAUCAGCAAAUGGUGUGUCCUGGCUGGUGUGACUGUCACCAGCCCGGCUGUGAGAUGGCCAGAGUGUUCCUGAGGCGCUGUUAUCUCCUGUGGAGGCUGAGGGAAGUGAUAAGACUCAGAUGGUGCCAUUCAUGGUCCCUCAACAACCAGUGCAAGUGUGAGUCCCUUUGAAGUUUACUGGUGACCCUGCUGAGAUCAAUACCCUGGGCUGGCAAAGAGUGGGGAGAGAAUCAGGCAGAGACCCAGGAAAAAGGACUUUGAAAAUAAAAAGCUGUAUCUUUUCAGGCUCAGGGGAGAAAUGUUGCCUCCCAGCCCCAGGAGCCAGGUCCUGGGCUAGUCCCCAGAGAGCCAAACACACACAAGAAGGGCUGUGAUUGAAAUCCCUCUCCUUGUGUUUUGCUGCUGCUGUUUGAAAUCAACUCCGUUUGCUUUCAGAGGUGCUGUUUUGUGUUUCUGCGGUGACAUGUGAAUCCCAAUCUUGCUGGGAAGCAGCAAAACGGGCACCCCAGGACCUGGUCUGAUGUGCCCUGAGGCCUCCCCCAUCACUGGCAGGACAGACUGGGUGCUGGCUCAGCCUGCCCCCCCUCAGAUGGGCCUGUGAGCUGCCAAGGGGGAUGUGGAUCUGUGCAAACUGUCAGGCUGAGCCCUGCCCUGGCACUGGAUGGCCCCACAUUUGCCCCUUCUCUUCCUGUGACGGGGACAAGGACCUUGCCAGCUGCCCGACAGGAAUCAGUGCUGGAGCCCCCAGACGAUGAGGAGGGUCAAAGGUAGAACAAGCUUCCCUCAGCAAUCCGGAUAUUAACAGGGUUGCAACACCAGUUAGAAGAAUUUGAAGGGUCAAAUUCCACCAGAGUGUAACAUCGUUGAACUCGGCUGUUUUAGACCUCCAGUGAAUCUGGAGCAGCGUUUUGGAAGGGUGACACCUUAACACAGACCUGUUUAAAGGAGUUAAUGUGUGACUGGCCCCAAACCAGCUGGAGCAGGCAGAUGGCUUGCCCUGCUGGAGCUGGUUUUGGCAGCUGGGACCCUGUGCAGUUCUCAGCGAUGCUGAUGUGAAUCCAGAAGAAAGCAGCUGAGAGCAGAAGGAUUGCAGUUGGCUUGCAUCAUCUGCAGAGCAGGAUUAGCCCUUUUUUUAUUGCAGAUUCCCAGAAGAUGGCUACCCUGGGCUUUCUCUGGAUAUGUAUGUCCAUAUUCUGAAAUGCAGCCAACAUCCUGCUACUAAAAUAAACCUCACAAAUGCGCCAUGUCUGGAACUGUCGCGAUUAAGAGCUACAAAAUAAGAAAACAGUCAGGACACAAUGGAUUUAUGU
This is a long non-coding RNA of Neopelma chrysocephalum (saffron-crested tyrant-manakin), 1602 nucleotides long. RefSeq lists it as uncharacterized. The record is from RefSeq and is a predicted model, not a curated record. NCBI's taxonomy places the organism in Eukaryota, Metazoa, Chordata, Aves, Passeriformes, Pipridae. The transcript has 2 exons.